This is a long non-coding RNA of Manihot esculenta (cassava), 252 nucleotides long. RefSeq lists it as uncharacterized. The record is from RefSeq and is a predicted model, not a curated record. The transcript has 3 exons. NCBI's taxonomy places the organism in Eukaryota, Viridiplantae, Streptophyta, Magnoliopsida, Malpighiales, Euphorbiaceae.
CGGGCCACUGAUCCGAGCGUGUCUCAAUUAGGUGGAGCUCUACACAUCCUGCAGAUAUAGGCAUGGGAACGAUUUAUUUCAAUAUCACCAUCUAUAAAUAUACGAGACCCACAUAAUGAUGCUCCACUGGGAAGUCGGUGGAGUAAUGCACGACGUAUCACUCAAGUCGUAACACAUGUCUUGAUAGAAAUACGCUAUAAAUUUGACAGAACGGGUGACCCAGAGAUGGUAUGGGAGCCAUAUUCCGAUGAA